This 497-nucleotide ribosomal RNA is filed under the name uncultured bacterium. RNAcentral's name for it is "partial 16S ribosomal RNA". It matches the Rfam family "Bacterial small subunit ribosomal RNA", at positions 28 to 507 of the family's 1533-position model. The record is from RNAcentral.
GAUGAACGCUGGCGGCGUGCCUAAUACAUGCAAGUCGAGCGAACGGACGAGAAGUUUGCUUCUCUGAUGUUAGCGGCGGACGGGUGAGUAACACGUGGAUAACCUACCUAUAAGACUGGGAUAACUUCGGGAAACCGGAGCUAAUACCGGAUAAUAUUUUGAACCGCAUGGUUCAAACGUGAAAGACGGUCUUGCUGUCACUUAUAGAUGGAUCAGCGCUUCAUUAGCUAGUUGGUAAGGUAACGGCUUACCAAGGCAACGAUGCAUAGCCGACCUGAGAGGGUGAACGGCCACACGGGAAGUGAGACACGGUCCAGACUCCGACGGGAGGCAGCAGUAGGGAAUCUUCCGCAAUGGGCGAGAGCCUGACGGAGCAACGCCGCGUGAGUGAUGAAGGUCUUCGGAUCGUAAAACUCUGUUAGUAGGGAAGAACAUAUGUGUAAGUAACUGUGCACAUCUUGACGGUACCUAAUGAGAAAGCCACGGCUAACUACGUG